CCUACGGGUGGCAGCAGUGGGGAAUAUUGGUCAAUGGAGGAAACUCUGAACCAGCAACGCCGCGUGAAUGAUGAAGGUCUUCGGAUUGUAAAGUUCUUUUCUAAGGGAAGAAGAAAGUGACGGUACCUUAGGAAUAAGCCUCGGCUAACUACGUGCCAGCAGCCGCGGUAAUACGUAGGAGGCGAGCGUUCUCCGGAAUGACUGGGCGGAAAGGGUGCGUAGGUGGUUUGACUAGUUGGUAGAGUAACUCCGAGGCUCAAACCGUGCACUACUACCGAAACUGUCGGACUUGAGUGCAGGAGAGGCAAGUGGAAUUCCUAGUGUAGCGGUGGAAUGCGCAGAUAUUAGGAGGAACACCGGUGGCGAAGGCGAAUUGCUGGACUGUAACUGACACUGAGGCACGAAAGCGUGGGGAGCAAACAGGAUUAGAUACCCCAGUAGUC
RNAcentral lists this ribosomal RNA (443 nucleotides) under uncultured bacterium. RNAcentral describes it as "partial 16S ribosomal RNA". It matches the Rfam family "Bacterial small subunit ribosomal RNA", at positions 338 to 795 of the family's 1533-position model. The record is from RNAcentral.